This 377-nucleotide ribosomal RNA is filed under the name uncultured eukaryote. Its description in RNAcentral is "partial 18S ribosomal RNA". It matches the Rfam family "Eukaryotic small subunit ribosomal RNA", at positions 592 to 976 of the family's 1831-position model. The record is from RNAcentral.
CAAUAGCGUAUAUUUAAGUUGCUGCAGUUAAAAAGCUCGUAGUUGGAUUUCGGGUGGGAAUGGCCGGUCCGCCGUUUCGGUGUGCACUUGCUACGCCCACCUUGCUGCCGGGGACGUGCUCUUGAGUACACGCUCGGGACACGGAGUCGGCGAGGUUACUUUGAGUAAAUUAGAGUGUUCAAAGCAGGCCUACGCUCUGAAUACAUUAGCAUGGAAUAACACGAUAGGACUCUGGCCUAUCUUGUUGGUCUGUAGGACCGGAGUAAUGAUUAAGAGGGACAGUCGGGGGCAUUCGUAUUUCAUUGUCAGAGGUGAAAUUCUUGGAUUUAUGAAAGACGAACUACUGCGAAAGCAUUUGCCAAGGAUGUUUUCAUUAA